GGAACUUAGCAAAACAUUUUACAAGGCUCAAGUAGAAUGUGGCUCUAGGACCUAUGACUACAGAUGGUCUGCAAAGCAUCUAUCACCUACCUACACAAGAUACACAAUCAUGUACACACAUGCAAGGAAGGAAUCAAAGGUGAUCUGUCCACAAAUGAUAUAUUGUGUGUAGCCUUUUGGCAAAGGGUACACACACACAUAAACACACAUCUAGAAAUGAAAGGAAAUUUGCCCGCAAAUUACAUUGACCAAAAUUGCUCCUUGAGAUGAAAUUUCAGAAUAGUCAUGAGUUCACUGGAGAGAAAGAGAAGGAGAGUGAGAAAGCAAAAGAAGCCUGAAGAUACAGAAUACCUUGUUUGUUCAAGGCUAACUUGCAGUAUCUUACAUCUCUAAGGCAAUUUUUCUUUCAAGGAUAUACCAAACUACCCAUUUCCUGCUAAAUGUGCAUAACGAAAUAGGUGCAGGUGGUGGAUAACUGAGCUGGAAACGUCCUUCUUACUCCAGGAGCACAAGAGCUCAGAGUUCACAGCAAUUUCUGCUUCUGCUCUCUCUCCCCCCCACCCUGCCCCCCGCACGGGUUUGGGUUGUGCAUGAAAAGGAGAUUCUGUGACUAAUAUCAAUGAGACAAAGAAAUGAAAGCUCUCUAAUCCCUGGGCCAGGCGCCAGCCGUCCCACUGUACGGGGCCAUUGGCCAGAAAUCCCACUGUAUGCUGGGCCCAAAGCCAACCAGGAUUGGAUACAAUGAGUUUCACAGCCACCUUUUCAGAGCUGACAGCAAAUGUCGGGGCACCAACAGCCUUUGAUAAGAGCUCCAACUUUCUCUCUAACAUUUCUACCCAAUAAUAAUAAAGCUUUUUUUUUUUUUAUUUAUUAAGCGGUACGCUCUUGAAGAUUGCUUAGUGCUUUUAGAGACACACACUCAUUCAUCUCAAUGCCUACAGUGAGAAGGGGUGGGGCUGGUGGCCAAAACUGAGAAACCAAUAUUCUCUUCCUGUUGAGAGAGAGAGAGAGAAAAAGGGGGCACAGUACUUUAGGCAACAGUUCAUUCUAUGAUUGAAAUUUCUAGACAAAGGUCUCACAUGAAUAUUCUUCCUUGGAUGAAAUGCGUUUGUCGGGAGCUAACUGGACCUUGCUGUGUGAUUCCUAAUGAGUUGUUUACUUAAAAAUGUCUCCUCUCUUCUUAAGACCAGGGGCUUUUGAAAGGCCAAACACAUACACAAACCAGUUAAUACUGGCACCCCUCAUGGAAUUUUCUGGCUGUUUCAGAUUUAAAUAUUGAUUUCUUUCUCUCACUCCCCCUGUCUCUUCACCAUGGCAGCAGCUGUCAGGAAGUUGGGACCUUCAUGCCAAGAAAGCACCCGGGAGAACAUGAACACCAUUAAAAUAUUUUUUACCUUUUACCUUAUUAUUGUUCUCAAAAAGCUCUUGAGUAGCUGGCUGAAUAUUGGGUAACCAAGAAGGGUUGCUCCUCCACCGGGGAAACAGUGGAUCCGAUUUCCAUUAGAGAUUCUGAAUUAUUUAGUGGGAAUUGAGGCCCCCAAUCAGCUGCCUUCUGAGCACUUGCCCCCAGGCGUCCAUCCCCAUUCCCGUGCCUUAAGGUCUUCUCUUGAGAACAGAACACGCACAACUUGAAAUGUGUUCCUUUUUAUUUAGACGGGUUAGGAAAAAGCUUACUUGCCACGAAUUAGGUUGCACAUGAUACAUAUCCAGGAUGCAAAGUGAGAGUCUAGUAUAUUGAAAGUUAACAGAAUUGUGAAUACCACAUGCAGCCACAACCCAUUGUCAUUACAAAUUCUUAUCAUAAUUUUCAGAUUUUGCAUUCUUUCAAACUGUAAAUGGAUAGUAAGUAACACUUAAUUCAAGAAGUUAAAUUCCUAGUAUUCGGUACUUUGCUGACUAACUGCUAUAUAUUUCAUGGAUUGACAUUUUUGAUUGACACGAGUGGAAAUUUCAGUGGAAAGCUAGACAAGAAAAUCAAAUGCUGGGUUGAAGGAAGAAGCUAACAUAUGGAUACAUAUACUUCCCUUUCUAUUUCUGUGUUCAUGUGAAAGAGUCAUUAAAACUGAAACAAUGUGAUUGACCACAUAUUAUAGAUUUGCCUCUUUUUUUCAUCACAAACUAUGCUUACAAAGAGUUUUUAGGGGAUGGAUUUGAAGAGAUGAACAUGGGUCAGAUUUGUGGAUAACUUUGCCAACAUUUCUGAGGAAGUUAGACUUUAUCGUUAUAGGAAUUUCUUGGUAUGUGUUAUUAGGCCACAAAGUAUAAUACAUCAGAUUCCUACUUUAAAGAUCUUACUUGGGCUGCGUUGAGCAUGUAAAAUAGAAAGAGUGAAGCUGAAACAUGGACACCAAUUGAGAUAAUCUAGCUGAGAAAUCACAUGCUUCGAAUAAGUAAACCAGCAAUGUUGAUAGAAAGAGAGUCAAGAAAAAAAAUCAUUGUCAAGGAGCAGUGGAUGACUGGCUGGGACUGGCGAAAGGAAAAAAAUGAUUCUAAAAAAUUCCUAGUUUUCCCCCUUUGUAGAUGAUGAUGACAGCCUUUGAGAUAAGGAACAGGAUUGGGCUACUAGAGAUGAGACCACCUUUAGAAAUGUUGAGUUCAAGUAGAGAGUGUAUCAUUUAAGCAAAAUUUAAAAGACAUAUUAUACCAUGGCGUAAACCGACAAUUUUAAAUUCACUUUUUAUGUGUUUUUCAAGAAAGAUCCAAAACUAUGGGCCACUUGCUUUAAUUAGUCCAUUUAUAAUGCCUCCCUAAAUCAAUUUUUGUAAGAGGCUCUCAACCCUUUAAUAAAAAUCUUUUCAAGCUAGAGUUUGCCCUUUUAAAAGGGGUAUUUAAUUUAUCUUCUUGAUGUUUCUAUGUGUAGGGUAAAAAGAAACUUAGCUAAAGACUAAUUCUUUCAUUUCUCCCCAACUUGGGGGUAACUAUAUCUCGGCGGUUCCCCACAUGAGAGUGGCCGGAGAAAAGGGAAAUCACCUCGGUGUUUAGAUAAAACUCUGGUUAUCUGCUGCUUGACAAAAUCAGAAGCUUACCUAAGUCUUGUUUCCCAGCUCAUCCCCUCCCCCAUGCCCUUCUCUUACCCACUUAAGCAAUUAUUCUAAUGACGCAUUAAUAAACUUGCAAGCAGAAUUUUGCUAUUACCAAAGGCUUACAAUUUCAGUGUCUUAAAUUCUGUUUGCUUUUUGUUGUGUACCUCUUUGUGAGUCUUCUUUUUUGCUUUGUCAUUCUUUUCUUUUUGGCUUUCUGUAUGUAUGCAUGAGAGCAUCAGAGCUACCUUAAGCUCAGCUCUAUUCCCUACCCCAGCCAGGUGAAAUUUCACCAGCACUGAUUUUACAUGUAUUGGGCUGGGUACUUGUCUCCAGUUAACUUGACAUUCCCAUGCUGUUCCCUUCCCUGCUUGCGGGACACUGAUUUUGGCUUCAUCCCAGUUAGGUGAGUGAGGGAGAGGUUGAUGAGAGGAGUACCAUGGUUGGUUUGUGCAUACUCUUGAAAGGACUGGAAUAACUACUGAGGAAAAAAACUGGUACCAAUGAGAAUUUUGUCAAAAAGGAAAAAUGAGUAGACUCGAGAAGUACAGAAUAAAAUUUUCCUGAAAAACUUGAAAAUUGCACGUUGAGAUCAAGAAGAUGACUCUAAAAUUGAACAUUUAUUUUGCAGAUUAAUUCAGGAGUGUAUAAUAAUAACAGGCUAUAAUCAUCUUCAUCUUCCAGGCACUAGGGGGUCCAAUUCCAUGGCAGUGUUGAAGAUCACUGGAGUCAACAUGGUACAGAUCCUGGAAGAAUCACAGAACUCGGAUCCUCUCCCCAGCUUCAUCUUUCUGGACUCCAUUUUUCUUUUUAAUUUUCAAGACGGAGAGUCUGAAAAUGAGCUUUUGCGAGGAUGCUCCAACUCCGUAAUUUCAUGAUUCUAUAGUGUAGUAGUUAGGGUCACUCUAGUACCACAAAUUCAGUUACUAAAUAGGCCAAAAAACCAGGUAACAGCCCCUCCUCCUGUCCCCGUUCACAAAUGGUGUAGACAGCUGGGUUGCCUUUUUUCAGAGAGCAAGGUUCUGAUUCAAUUAUCUAUGGCUGUGUUGUAACAGAGAAGGUUUGUACUCUAUUACAACCUAAUCACUAAAGGGAUGGCCCACUUCUGGGAACGCUGCCUCUCGAGUAAUGAGCAUUAAGUUCAAAUACCUUUGUUUAUCUCGUAGGAAACAGCCUAACCAGGCCCACCUGUGAAUGACUACAAGGCGGCUGGCCGGAAACAGGAAAUGUUUGACGUUACGCCCGCCCCUUUCAGUAUAAAAGAAGCCUGACCCCCGCCCUCGAGCAAGAUGGUUUGUUGGGGGGAAGUGUUCUACAUGUGCUUGGUUUGCUGGCUUUCUGAAUAAAGUCACUAUUUCUUGCCCCAACAACUCACCUCUGGAUUUCCUGGACUGUUGUGUGGCGAGCAGCACAGCAUAGACUUGAUUAAAAAAAAAAAAA
This 4460-nucleotide long non-coding RNA is filed under the name Sus scrofa (pig). Its description in RNAcentral is "lncRNA (ENSSSCG00030065158.1)". Lineage: Eukaryota; Metazoa; Chordata; Mammalia; Artiodactyla; Suidae. The record is from RNAcentral.